GGUUAAGCGACUAAGCGUACACGGUGGAUGCCCUGGCAGUCAGAGGCGAUGAAGGACGUGCUAAUCUGCGAAAAGCGUCGGUAAGGUGAUAUGAACCGUUAUAACCGGCGAUGUCCGAAUGGGGAAACCCAGUGCAAUUCGUUGCACUAUCGUUAACUGAAUACAUAGGUUAACGAGGCGAACCGGGGAACUGAAACAUCUAAGUACCCCGAGGAAAAGAAAUCAACCGAGAUUCCCCAGUAGCGGCGAGCGAACGGGGAGCAGCCCAGAGUCUGAAUCAGCUUGUGUGUUAGUGGAACGGUCUGGAAAGUCCGACGGUACAGGGUGAUAGUCCCGUACACCAAAAUGCACAGGUUGUGAACUCGAAGAGUAGGGCGGGACACGUGGUAUCCUGUCUGAAUAUGGGGGACCAUCCUCCAAGGCUAAAUACUCCUGACUGACCGAUAGUGAACCAGUACCGUGAGGGAAAGGCGAAAAGAACCCCGGCGAGGGGAGUGAAAAAGAACCUGAAACCGUGUACGUACAAGCAGUGGGAGCACCUUCGGGUGUGACUGCGUACCUUUGUAUAAUGGGUCAGCGACUUAUAUUCUGUAGCAAGGUUAACCGUAUAGGGAGCCGCAGGAAACCGAGUCUUAACUGGGCGUUAAGUUGCAGGGUAUAGACCCGAAACCCGGUGAUCUAGCCAUGGGCAGGUUGAAGGUUGGGUAACACUAACUGGAGGACCGAACCGACUAAUGUUGAAAAAUUAGCGGAUGACUUGUGGCUGGGGUGAAAGGCCAAUCAAACCGGGAGAUAGCUGGUUCUCCCCGAAAGCUAUUUAGGUAGCGCCUCGUGAACUCAUCUUCGGGGGUAGAGCACUGUUUCGGCUAGGGGUCAUCCCGACUUACCAACCCGAUGCAAACUACGAAUACCGAAGAAUGUUAUCACGGGAGACACACGGCGGGUGCUAACGUCCGUCGUGAAGAGGGAAACAACCCAGACCGCCAGCUAAGGUCCCAAAGUCAUGGUUAAGUGGGGAAACGAUGUGGGGAAGGCACAGACAGCCGGGGAUGUUGGCUUAGAAGCAGCCAUCAUUUAAAGAAAGCGUAAUAGCUCACUGGUCGAGUCGGCCUGCGCGGAAGAUGUAACGGGGCUAAACCAUGCACCGAAGCUGCGGCAGCGACACUAUGUGUUGUUGGGUAGGGGAGCGUUCUGUAAGCCUGCGAAGGUGUGCUGUGAGGCAUGCUGGAGGUAUCAGAAGUGCGAAUGCUGACAUAAGUAACGAUAAAGCGGGUGAAAAGCCCGCUCGCCGGAAGACCAAGGGUUCCUGUCCAACGUUAAUCGGGGCAGGGUGAGUCGACCCUAAGGCGAGGCCGAAAGGCGUAGUCGAUGGGAAACAGGUUAAUAUUCCUGUACUUGGUGUUACUGCGAAGGGGGACGGAGAAGGCUAUGUUAGCCGGGCGACGGUUGUCCCGGUUUUUAAGCAUGUGAAGCUGAUUGUCCGAGGCAAAUCCGGAUAAUCAAGGCUGAGGUGUGAUGACGAGGCACUACGGUGCUGAAGUAACAAAUGCCCUGCUUCCGAGGAAAAGCCUCUAAGCAUCAGGUAACAUUAAAUCGUACCCCCAAACCGACACAGGUGGUCAGGUAGAGAAUACCAAGGCGCUUGAGAGAACUCGGGUGAAGGAACUAGGCAAAAUGGUGCCGUAACUUCGGGAGAAGGCACGCUGGUGUGUAGGUGAAGUCCCUGCGGAUGGAGCUGAGACCAGUCGAAGAUACCAGCUGGCUGCAACUGUUUAUUAAAAACACAGCACUGUGCAAACACGAAAGUGGACGUAUACGGUGUGACGCCUGCCCGGUGCCGGAAGGUUAAUUGAUGGGGUUAUCCGUAAGGAGAAGCUCUUGAUCGAAGCCCCGGUAAACGGCGGCCGUAACUAUAACGGUCCUAAGGUAGCGAAAUUCCUUGUCGGGUAAGUUCCGACCUGCACGAAUGGCGUAAUGAUGGCCGGGGCUGUCUCCACCCGAGACUCAGUGAAAUUGAACUCGCUGUGAAGAUGCAGUGUACCCGCGGCAAGACGGAAAGACCCCGUGAACCUUUACUAUAGCUUGACACUGAACAUUGAGCCUUGAUGUGUAGGAUAGGUGGGAGGCUUUGAAGCGUGGACGCCAGUCUGCGUGGAGCCAACCUUGAAAUACCACCCUUUAAUGUUUGAUGUUCUAACGUUGGCCCCUGACCGGGGUUGCGGACAGUGUCUGGUGGGUAGUUUGACUGGGGCGGUCUCCUCCCAAAGCGUAACGGAGGAGCACGAAGGUUAGCUAAUCCUGGUCGGACAUCAGGAGGUUAGUGCAAUGGCAUAAGCUAGCUUGACUGCGAGCGUGACGGCGCGAGCAGGUGCGAAAGCAGGUCAUAGUGAUCCGGUGGUUCUGAAUGGAAGGGCCAUCGCUCAACGGAUAAAAGGUACUCCGGGGAUAACAGGCUGAUACCGCCCAAGAGUUCAUAUCGACGGCGGUGUUUGGCACCUCGAUGUCGGCUCAUCACAUCCCUCGGGGCUGAAGUAGGUCCCAAGGGUAUGGCUGUUCGCCAUUUAAAGUGGUACGCGAGCUGGGUUUAGAACGUCGUGAGACAGUUCGGUCCCUAUCUGCCGUGGGCGCUGGAGAAUUGAGGGGGCUGCUCCUAGUACGAGAGGACCGGAGUGGACGCAUCACUGGUGUUCGGGUUGUCAUGCCAAUGGCACUGCCCGGUAGCUAAAUGCGGAAGAGAUAAGUGCUGAAAGCAUCUAAGCACGAAACUUGCCCCGAGAUGAGUUCUCCCUGAGACUUUAAGUCUCCUGAAGGAACGUUGAACGACGACGUUGAUAGGCCGGGUGUGUAAGCGCAGCGAUGCGUUGAGCUAACCGGUACUAAUGAACCGUGAGGCUUAACCUU
Molecule: ribosomal RNA, 2901 nt
Filed under: Klebsiella pneumoniae
Lineage: Bacteria; Pseudomonadati; Pseudomonadota; Gammaproteobacteria; Enterobacterales; Enterobacteriaceae
Description: 23S ribosomal RNA
Rfam family: Bacterial large subunit ribosomal RNA
Source: RNAcentral